Molecule: ribosomal RNA, 253 nt
Filed under: uncultured bacterium
Lineage: Bacteria
Description: partial 16S ribosomal RNA
Rfam family: Bacterial small subunit ribosomal RNA
Source: RNAcentral
UACGUAGGCAGCAAGCGUUGUUCGGAGUUACUGGGCGUAAAGGGUGCGUAGGCGGCUUUUUAAGUUUGAUGUGAAAUCUCCCGGCUCAACUGGGAGGGUGCGCCGAAUACUGAGAGGCUAGAGUGUGGGAGAGGAAAGUGGAAUUCCUGGUGUAGCGGUGAAAUGCGUAGAUAUCAGGAGGAACACCGGUGGUGUAAACGGCUUUCUGGACCAUAACUGACGCUGAGGCACGAAAGCGUGGGUAGCAAACAGG